UGGGGAAUCUUGCGCAAUGGGCGAAAGCCUGACGCAGCAACGCCGCGUGAGCGAAGACGGCCUUCGGGUUGUAAAGCUCUGUCAGGAGGGACGAAGCCACUCGGGUGAAUAGCCCAGAGGGUGACGGUACCUCCAGAGGAAGCCCCGGCUAACUACGUGCCAGCAGCCGCGGUAAUACGUAGGGGGCGAGCGUUGUCCGGAAUCAUUGGGCGUAAAGCGCGUGUAGGCGGCUUGGCAAGUCCGGUGUGAAAGCUCGAGGCUCAACCUCGAGUCUGCAUCGGAAACUGCUUUGCUAGAGUCCGGAAGAGGAGACUGGAAUUCCUGGUGUAGCGGUGAAAUGCGCAGAUAUCAGGAAGAACACCGGUGGCGAAGGCGGGUCUCUGGGACGGUACUGACGCUGAGACGCGAAAGCGUGGGGAGCAAACA
This 426-nucleotide ribosomal RNA is filed under the name uncultured Gaiella sp. RNAcentral's name for it is "partial 16S ribosomal RNA". It matches the Rfam family "Bacterial small subunit ribosomal RNA", at positions 355 to 774 of the family's 1533-position model. Lineage: Bacteria; Bacillati; Actinomycetota; Thermoleophilia; Gaiellales; Gaiellaceae. The record is from RNAcentral.